This 21-nucleotide non-coding RNA is filed under the name Caenorhabditis elegans. The record is from RNAcentral. Lineage: Eukaryota; Metazoa; Nematoda; Chromadorea; Rhabditida; Rhabditidae.
UGAAGUCACUCACAAUGGGUU